RNAcentral lists this non-coding RNA (231 nucleotides) under Candidatus Zhuqueibacterota. The record is from RNAcentral. Lineage: Bacteria; Pseudomonadati.
CGAUCAUUGACAGCUGUAGUUUUUAUUAUAUAAUGAUGCGGUCAGUUAGAUCAAAGGGAAGCGCCGUGAGAUUCGGCCGCGGUCGCCGCCACUGUGACCCCGCCCCUAUUUUUUAUCAGGAUAAUAGGGGAGAAUUCCCUAACCAAUAAGGUCACUGUUCUGCAAAUCGCAGAAUGGGAAGACGGUUAGGGGCGGGGAAGCCAGGAGACCUAUCUGCUGAUUCAAUAAGCA